UACGGAGGGUGCGAGCGUUGUCCGGAAUCACUGAGCGUAAAGGGUGAGUAGGUGGCCUGUUAAGCGUGUGGUGAAAGCCUGGGGCUCAACCCCAGGUCUGCCGUGCGAACUGACAGGCUUGAGCAGAGUAGAGGCGAGUGGAAUUUCGGGUGUAGCGGUGGAAUGCGUAGAUAUCCGAAAGAACACCGGUGGCGAAGGCGACUCGCUGGGCUCUUGCUGACACUGAAUCACGACAGCGUGGGGAGCAAACAGG
Molecule: ribosomal RNA, 253 nt
Filed under: uncultured bacterium
Lineage: Bacteria
Description: partial 16S ribosomal RNA
Rfam family: Bacterial small subunit ribosomal RNA
Source: RNAcentral